Molecule: ribosomal RNA, 253 nt
Filed under: uncultured bacterium
Lineage: Bacteria
Description: partial 16S ribosomal RNA
Rfam family: Bacterial small subunit ribosomal RNA
Source: RNAcentral
UACGAAGGGUGCAAACGUUGUUCGGAAUUACUGGGCGUAAAGGGCUCGUAGGUGGCCAACUAAGUCAGACGUGAAAUCCCUCGGCUUAACCGGGGAACUGCGUCUGAUACUGGAUGGCUUGAAUCCGGGAGAGGGAUGCAGAAUUCCAGGUGUAGCGGUGAAAUGCGUAGAUAUCUGGAGGAAUACCGGUGGCGAAGGCGGCAUCCUGGACCGGCAUUGACGCUGAGGAGCGAAAGCCAGGGGAGCAAACGGG